RNAcentral lists this non-coding RNA (89 nucleotides) under Pseudomonas tolaasii NCPPB 2192. Lineage: Bacteria; Pseudomonadati; Pseudomonadota; Gammaproteobacteria; Pseudomonadales; Pseudomonadaceae. The record is from RNAcentral.
UGUGGGAGCGGGCUUGCCCGCGAUGACGGAGUGUCAGUCUAUGCAUCUUUGACUGACCUGCCGCCAUCGCGGGCAAGCCCGCUCCCACA